UGAUAUGGAGAAGGCAACCUGGGCAGAAGGAAGAACUGUAACAAAGGAAUCCUGUGCCUGGAAGAGGAACAAAUAGUCCACAUCUUCCAGACCUUGAAGGCUUCAUGGGAGGAAAAACGGAAGUGAGAGGGUUGGAGACGGCUGCUCUGGACCUUACUCUGGUGCACGAUUCCAUCCACUGGUGAGAGGAAAAGAGGAAAUGGAGCCUCAUCCCUUGAAGAGCAUAACUCACAAUUGGAAAACUGCACCCUUCCAUGUGCCUCCCACUGCCCGCAGCACCACAUGGCCACACACAGUGUAAAGGGGGAUGGAACUGUGAGCUUCAGCUGGGUCGUUGCUUGCUCUGCUGACAUUUGGAAUACUAAAGCAAGAUGGAAGGAAUAGGCAUUGGGAGACAAGUGAAACAGGCGCGCAUUCAUUCAUCCAUCCAGAUUCUUGGAGAAGUUACCGUUAUGAGAAGCCUUGCUGUUCGAAUCCCAGAAAACCAGCCACUGCCCUGCUACCUCCCCUUCAGACUUUUCUCCCCCCUGAGCACUUGUAAAAUGUGAGCUGAAAACCCCGGCAUUUUGUGAAGAUACUAGUUAUAUUUCUUUGGCUGUAUUGUACAAUUGUGUGAGGCAGAGGGAGAAAUUGAGUUAGCUACUUGGUAACACAGGGAUGAAGCUAGGAAAAUAAAACAAAUAAAAAAG
This is a long non-coding RNA of Chinchilla lanigera (long-tailed chinchilla), 689 nucleotides long. RefSeq lists it as uncharacterized. The record is from RefSeq and is a predicted model, not a curated record. The transcript is spliced from 3 exons. Lineage: Eukaryota; Metazoa; Chordata; Mammalia; Rodentia; Chinchillidae.